This is a long non-coding RNA of Contarinia nasturtii (swede midge), 270 nucleotides long. RefSeq lists it as uncharacterized. NCBI's taxonomy places the organism in Eukaryota, Metazoa, Arthropoda, Insecta, Diptera, Cecidomyiidae. The transcript is spliced from 3 exons. The record is from RefSeq and is a predicted model, not a curated record.
CGAGUCGAAGUGACAAGUCAAUAAAUCUAUCAUAUUUUUUAUCGUUCUAUUCAAUGAUGCUUUCGCUCACAGCUUCAUUACAAAACAAAUAUCUUCCAAUUCAAUAUCAAAUUGUUGAACGAAGAGGGCCCAAAGUAAUUGAGUUACACGAAGAAAAGAUAUGUGAUUAUUACUAUUGGCUUGAAGACGACUCAGAACGAAAAGAUAAAAUUUUGGAAAUAGAAAAAUACAUACUUGAUAAAUACAUAGACCAGAAUUCACCAAAUAUUG